CCUACGGGGUGCAGCAGUGGGGAAUAUUGGACAAUGGGCGAAAGCCUGAUCCAGCCAUGCCGCGUGUGUGAAGGAGGCCUUCGGGUUGUAAAGCACUUUCAGUGGGGAAGAAAGCCUUGGGGCUAAUACCCUCGAGGAAGGACAUCACCCACAGAAGAAGCACCGGCUAACUCCGUGCCAGCAGCCGCGGUAAUACGGAGGGUGCGAGCGUUAAUCGGAAUUACUGGGCGUAAAGCGCGCGUAGGCGGUCUGAUAAGCCGGUUGUGAAAGCCCCGGGCUCAACCUGGGAACGGCAUCCGGAACUGUCAGGCUAGAGUGCAGGAGAGGAAGGUAGAAUUCCCGGUGUAGCGGUGAAAUGCGUAGAGAUCGGGAGGAAUACCAGUGGCGAAGGCGGCCUUCUGGACUGACACUGACGCUGAGGUGCGAAAGCGUGGGUAGCAAACAGGAUUAGAUACCCGGGUAGUC
Molecule: ribosomal RNA, 465 nt
Filed under: Vreelandella stevensii
Lineage: Bacteria; Pseudomonadati; Pseudomonadota; Gammaproteobacteria; Oceanospirillales; Halomonadaceae
Description: partial 16S ribosomal RNA
Rfam family: Bacterial small subunit ribosomal RNA
Source: RNAcentral